Oreochromis aureus is the source of this 1478-nucleotide long non-coding RNA. The record is from Ensembl. Lineage: Eukaryota; Metazoa; Chordata; Actinopteri; Cichliformes; Cichlidae.
GGAAUGCAGCCCCAGGAGCAAUAACAUGGCAGAUAAAGGGACAGGAGCGAAGUCCUGAGCAAAGAGUCCCAGCAAACAGCAGCAGUGUGGACAAAAAGCAUCAGAGAAGAAGAGCAAACCAUCAUCCUGACUGAUUGGAUGAAUGACACUGUGUUUCCAACAAGCUGCAAAGUCACUGUGCUUGUGAAAAGGACGUUUGAGGAGAACUGAGGAGACUGUUGGAGUUUGACAUUUGCCACCUUUGGAGUAAAAUGGCAAGAAGAGACAGUGGAACACAGGACAAAGCUGAAGAAGAACUGCUGGCUAUUGGACUGUUGAAGUGGGAGAGGACAACAGAGUGAGAGCAGGAGCAAGGAAAUACAGGUGCAGCAGUCAGAGUAUUGCUGAAAGGAAUCUCUUAAGAAAUCUUCUGAGGCCCAGUGAGAAGCAACCCAUUCCAGGCAUAGCUGACAGUCCAGGCAGUGGUUGAGGUCAAAGGUCGAGCUGUUUGGGGCCCAUCAUGAGAUCAGACUUUGGAGCCACAGCAAGGACCACAAUGCUGCGAAGGAUGAGAGCUGUGCCAAGGGGGAUUUCCAGAGGCCAACAGAGGAGAUUGUGGAUAACAGACGGGCACCUGAAGGAUGAGGGGAGUGUGCCGAGCUCCAUCGACAGCGCAGGGGGAGUUCGAGGAUGGCAUCAUGAUUCUGUGAAAAGCACAGGAACCAGAAGCUAUGGUGGUGAUGACAGCAGUUUCCUAUGAACAUCACCUAAUGCUGUGUCACUGUACUGUGCAUACGAUGGCACACUGAAGACUGCUGGGAUCAUAACAGCAGUAAGAUAACUGGAUCCAGCACCCUUUCCACAGAGGGUUUUUCCUGCAGAGGAUGGACAAUGGAGGAGUCAUAUGUAUCCCCCACAGGACAAGGAGGCCUGAAGUGAGGUGAUGGGGGUUGGUAGAGGCCAUAAAACUCAAGUGUUGACAAGGCCUGCAGCUUUGAAGAUAGCUGAGACCCAUGUUGACAAACAACAAAACUCAACUGGUAUGUUUGAAUGUCUAUUCUACAUACAUUUGGACUCUGGUCCUAUGGACAGUGAUGGGAACAUCUGGAAGAGACAAUUAUGACGCCCUAUAGAGCUUAAACCACUCUACAGCGAGACAUGCUAUUUACAUGUCUUGCGGAGGAGCACAACCAAGCUGGAGUGUUUUUGAAGUGUUGCUUUCUUAUUUUAACUAUUAAAGUAACAAUUCAUUUGUUUGCUUAUGUAUAGGAUGCAUUUUGCCGUGUAUAAGAUCAAUGCUAACUAAAAUGAUUUCUGAUACAUUUGUUAAUUGUGUACUUUUACAACAAUAUGAAAUGACUGAAAUGAAUGACAUGACAGAGGCCUGUGUAUGAAUGACGCCUGCACUGGAAAUGUUAAGCAAGAGGUGCAUGGCUGAGAAUAUACUACAUAGGAAUAAUUUGGAGCAUAAAAUUACAAAAACAGGAGGGAAAUGUUAG